AAAAGUUGGAAUAUAGAAAAGCCAGUAGUAAAACUAAUCAAGAAAAAGAGAGAAGCAAUUCAAAUUUAAAAAUAUAUAUAAAAAUAAAAAUAAAAUAAAAAGAGAAGGGGAAAUGGACACAUUCUCUUAAAAACUUGAAACGCUGGCCGGGCGCAGUGGCUCACGCCUGUAAUCCCAGCACUUUGGGAGGCCCAGGCAGGUGGAUCACCUGAGGUCAGGAGUUCGAGACCUUGCUGACAUGGUGAAAGCCCCGUCUCUACUAAAAACACAAAAAAUUAGCUGGGCAUGGUGGCAGGCACCUGUAAUUCCAGCUACUCAGGAGGCUGAGGCAGGAGAAUCGCUUGAACCCGGGAGGCGGCGGUUGCAGUCAGCUGAGAUCACACCACCGCACUUCAGCCUGGGCAACAGGAGUGAAACUCUGUCUCAAAAAAAAACUUGAAAUGAUUAAUUGACAUAAGAAUUAGAAAAUCUGAAUAGCUCAACAGCCAAUUACCAAAAUCUGAAUAACCCUUUGAGGUAAGCACUAUUACUCCCCCACUGCAGAGAUGAGAAAACUAGAGAAUUGGUCAUUUGAGUACCUUGGCCAAGGUCACAGAACAGAGCCAGGAUUUGAACCCAAGCAGUCUGAUUCUGUGACUUCUCUCUACUCCAUGGUGGUGGAUUCUAUGUGUCAACUUGACUGGGCCACUGGGUGCCCAGAUUAAACAGUGUUUCUGGGUGUUUGCAGAUGAGACAAGCAUUUGAAUCUGUGGGCUCAGUAGAGCAGACUUCUCUUCCUAAUGUACGGGGGCCUCAGCCAACCCCUUGAGGGCCUGAGUAGAACAAAAGGAGAAAGAAUCUGCCCCUUUUGCUUCCUGCCUGCCUGCGUGGGCAGAUCUCAUCUCAUCUUCUCCUGCCCUUCAACUGGGAUUUACACCUCGAGGCCCCUUGGUUCCCAGGCCUUUGGACACAGACUGGAAUUGCACUACCCACUCUCCUGAGUCUCCAGCUUGCAGAUGGCAGGUCAUGGAACUUCUCAGCCUCCAUAAUAGUACCCGCUAUACCUUUGAAAGCAGGCCGUGCUAGAUCAGUGUGAGAGAUGAAAACGCUGACCCUGGACUGUCCGCCAGUGUUGGGCCCCUGUGUCAAGGGGAGUGCUCGUUUUCCAGGAAGGAAAUAAAAGAGACCCUCUGCUCUCCACCUUGAAUAAAUACAACCUUUCAACUCUGACACUCAUAGUCUUUUUCUGAAAGGCUUUCCUGCAUUCUGGUGAACUUGUAUUACAUGAACUUAAGAUAACAAGUGGCAAUGUCUUUUCAAAGCCAGUAACAUAAUCCAAAGGCAUGUCAAAGAAUGCAGUGACUCUAGCAUUUCUUAAGUGUAGGAGGCAAGAGUGACGCAAAAAGAGGCCAUGCCCUGUAGCAUCCAAGCUCUAUCGACUUAGAUCAUCCUUGGAAAAAAACUCUGAAGAAAUCAACAGCAGUUCAUUUGUUGGUCUGUGCAUUAAUUCAUCCAAAUAUUAGCACAUAUCCCAUGCCAAGCACUGUGGGCUAAGGAGGCAAAAGGGACAGGCUGUACUCUAAAGGACUUCACAGCCUGUGGGGAAAGAGAAGCCAGUGAACAACUAUAAGAUGAAUGUUCUGAUAAAGCUAUGCCUCUGGGGUAGGGGUGGAGGUGGACUGGCCUGGGGGAGGAGGUGACAUCUGAGCUGGAAGGGAGUGUGAAAUAGAGAACUGGAGGUACAAAGAGAAGCAGGAGGGCACAGAGGACCUUUAGGGAACCACUGGCAGCUUAACUGGUCAGAGUGCAGUUGUGAAGGAACAGAGUGGUAACAGGAAAGGGGAGAGAAACAGACAGGGACCAGCUCCCGAAGGAGUUUGUAGGCCUUGCUAAAAAUUUGGAUUCUAUCCCCAAACUAUAGGGAACUAGCUAACAGGUGAAUCUAAAGAUUCACCUGUUAGACUCCAACAGAAGAUGGAGGUACGGGUAGGGUGGGCAGCACGAAAAUAACUGGGAGGAGUUUGGUUUGUGUCUUCCUCUGUUUCACUGCCAGAGAUGACCAAAAAGGGGGCACUUCUCACAAUGGCAGAUGCCAUCAACUGAACCCUUUCCCACUGAGUGUAAAUAUGGCCUUGAAAUCCUUCUCACUUCAACAUUCCAGACAGGUACUCCCAAUUGGUAGAACGGGCUUGUAAGGUCACACUCAUUUGUCACCCUGGUGCUAAAGUAUGAGCCCUGGGAGAGCAGGAAUUUUAUUGACUUUAUAUCACAGUUGUAUCCUCAGUGCUUAGUGCAGUGUCUGAAGAAC
RNAcentral lists this long non-coding RNA (2287 nucleotides) under Homo sapiens (human). RNAcentral's name for it is "HSALNT0277031". The record is from RNAcentral. Lineage: Eukaryota; Metazoa; Chordata; Mammalia; Primates; Hominidae.